GAUGAACGCUGGCGGCGUGCCUAAUACAUGCAAGUCGAGCGAACGGACGAGAAGCUUGCUUCUCUGAUGUUAGCGGCGGACGGGUGAGUAACACGUGGAUAACCUACCUCUCAGACUGGGAUAAUUUCGGGAAACCGGAUCUACUACCGGAUAAUAUUUUGAACCUCAUUGUUCACAAGUGAAAGACGGUCUUGCUGUCACUUAUAGAUGGAUACGCGCUGCAUUAGCUAGUUGGUAAGGUAACGGCUUACCAAGGCAACGAUGCAUAGCCGACCUGAACGGGUGAUCGGCCACACUGGAAGUGAGAAACGGUCCAGACUCCGAGAGGGGGCAGCAGUAGGGAAUCUUCCGCGAUGGGCGAAAGCCUGACGGAGCAACGCCGCGUGAGUGAUGAAGGUCUUCGGAUCGUAAAACUCUGUUAUUAGGGAAGAACAUAUGUGUAAGUAACUGUGCACAUCUUGACGGUACCUAAUCAGAAAGCCACGGCUAACUACGUG
This 497-nucleotide ribosomal RNA is filed under the name uncultured bacterium. Its description in RNAcentral is "partial 16S ribosomal RNA". It matches the Rfam family "Bacterial small subunit ribosomal RNA", at positions 28 to 507 of the family's 1533-position model. The record is from RNAcentral.